UACUUUUUCAUCAACUUUUGCAUUUUAAUGUAAACAAUCAUAUUUCGUAAUAUUUUGGGUCAGAAACAUUUCAUAGUACUAUAUUAUGUCUAACUAUGUGAAAAAAAUCAAAUUGGAGUACGUUGUGCACUUGAUUAUAUGAGUUUGUUAGAAAAACCACUUUCCUUUGCUCCUAGCGCCUUCUCGUUCGCUGUAUAGCGUUUUGAGCGGAUAAAGAGCACAAGUGUGUAAGGAGACACAGAAUGAAUGGGAACUAGUUUUGUAAUUGAACUUUUGAUGAAAAGUCACUUUCUAGACAUAAAAUGUCACUUUUUUCACCUUAUCAUACUUUUUCAUCAACUUUUGCAUUUUAAUGUAAACAAUCAUAUUUCGUAAUAUUUUGGGUCAGAAACAUUUCUUAGUACUAUAUUAUGUCUAACUAUGUGAAAAAAAUCAAAUUGGAGUACGUUGUGCACUUGAUUAUAUGAGUUUGUUAGAAAAACCACUUUCCUUUGCUCCUAGCGCCUUCUCGUUCGCUGUAUAGCGUUUUGAGCGGAUAAAGAGCACAAGUGUGUAAGGGGACACAGAAUGAAUGGGAACUAGUUUUGUUAUUGUACUUUUGAUGAAAAGUCACUUUCUAGACAUAAAAUGUCACUUUUUUCACCUUAUCAUUCUUUUUCAUCAACUUUUGCAUUUUAAUGUAAACAAUCAUAUUUCGUAAUAUUUUGGGUCAGAAACAUUUCAUAGUACUAUAUUAUGUCUAACUAUGUGAAAAAAAUCAAAUUGGAGUAGGUCGGGCAAUUGAUUAUAUGAGUUUGUUAGUAAAACCACUUUCCUUUGCUCCUAGCGCCUUCUCAAGCGCUGUAUAGCGUUUUGAGCGUAUAAAGAGCUCAAGUGUGUAUGGGGACAAGAGAUAUGUGGGAACCAGUUUUGUUAUUGUACUUUUGAUGAAAGGUGACUUUCUAGACAUAAAUUGUCACUUUUUUCCCCUUAUCAUACUUUAUCAUCAACUUUUACAUUUUAAUGUAAACAAUCAUAUUUCGUAUUAUUUUAGGUCAGAAAAAUUUCAUAGUACUAUAUUAUGUCUAAAUAUGUGAAAAAUAUCAUAUUGCAGUAGGUCGGGCAAUUGAUUAUAUGAGUUUGUUAGAAAAACCACUUUCCUUUGCUCCUACCGC
Molecule: long non-coding RNA, 1154 nt
Organism: Ictalurus punctatus (channel catfish)
Lineage: Eukaryota; Metazoa; Chordata; Actinopteri; Siluriformes; Ictaluridae
Source: Ensembl